This is a non-coding RNA of Camelina sativa (false flax), 378 nucleotides long. The record is from RefSeq and is a predicted model, not a curated record. NCBI's taxonomy places the organism in Eukaryota, Viridiplantae, Streptophyta, Magnoliopsida, Brassicales, Brassicaceae.
AAAGAUUGGAUAGGACUAUAGGAGGAUUGUGUUUUGCAACAACUCCGUGUGUUUCACAUUGAAGACAAGUCCCACCUCUAUAAAUAAAGUAGCCUCCCUCAAAAACAUAACAUAUUGAAAAAGCUCUCAUUUUUAGCUAAUUAUUUUCUUGAAGUAGUACUGCGAGAAAUGGAUUCAAGGUAUACUGGGAAGAGUGAAAAUGAAAUGAAUAUCGACGAUGAAGAGACAAGAAGUAAAUACCCAUUUGUGAGUAUUUUAAGUAUGAGUGGAGGAGAUGGAGAUAAUAGUUACUCCUCCAAUUCUCUUCUUCAGAGAAGAGUUUUAUCAAUGACCAAAGCAAUCCUGGUUAAAAACACCAAAGAAAUGAUGACAAACUUG